This 578-nucleotide ribosomal RNA is filed under the name uncultured bacterium. RNAcentral describes it as "bacterial SSU rRNA". It matches the Rfam family "Bacterial small subunit ribosomal RNA", at positions 102 to 694 of the family's 1533-position model. The record is from RNAcentral.
ACGGGUGAGUAACACGUGGGUGAUCUGCCCUGCACUUCGGGAUAAGCCUGGGAAACUGGGUCUAAUACCGGAUAUGACCUCCUAUCGCAUGGUGGGUGGUGGAAAGAUUUAUCGGUGCAGGAUGGGCCCGCGGCCUAUCAGCUUGUUGGUGGGGUAAUGGCCUACCAAGGCGACGACGGGUAGCCGACCUGAGAGGGUGACCGGCCACACUGGGACUGAGACACGGCCCAGACUCCUACGGGAGGCAGCAGUGGGGAAUAUUGCACAAUGGGCGAAAGCCUGAUGCAGCGACGCCGCGUGAGGGAUGACGGCCUUCGGGUUGUAAACCUCUUUCAGCAGGGACGAAGCGCAAGUGACGGUACCUGCAGAAGAAGCACCGGCUAACUACGUGCCAGCAGCCGCGGUAAUACGUAGGGUGCAAGCGUUGUCCGGAAUUACUGGGCGUAAAGAGUUCGUAGGCGGUUUGUCGCGUCGUUUGUGAAAACCAGCAGCUCAACUGCUGGCUUGCAGGCGAUACAGGCAGACUUGAGUACUGCAGGGGAGACUGGAAUUCCUGGUGUAGCGGUGAAAUGCGCAGA